This 500-nucleotide ribosomal RNA is filed under the name uncultured bacterium. Its description in RNAcentral is "partial 16S ribosomal RNA". It matches the Rfam family "Bacterial small subunit ribosomal RNA", at positions 30 to 523 of the family's 1533-position model. The record is from RNAcentral.
AUUGAACGCUGGCGGCAGGCCUAACACAUGCAAGUCGAGCGGAUGAGAGGAGCUUGCUUCUCGAUUCAGCGGCGGACGGGUGAGUAAUGCCUAGGAAUCUGCCUGGUAGUGGGGGACAACGUUUCGAAAGGAACGCUAAUACCGCAUACGUCCUACGGGAGAAAGCAGGGGACCUUCGGGCCUUGCGCUAUCAGAUGAGCCUAGGUCGGAUUAGCUAGUUGGUGAGGUAAUGGCUCACCAAGGCGACGAUCCGUAACUGGUCUGAGAGGAUGAUCAGUCACACUGGAACUGAGACACGGUCCAGACUCCUACGGGAGGCAGCAGUGGGGAAUAUUGGACAAUGGGCGAAAGCCUGAUCCAGCCAUGCCGCGUGUGUGAAGAAGGUCUUCGGAUUGUAAAGCACUUUAAGUUGGGAGGAAGGGUUGUAGAUUAAUACUCUGCAAUUUUGACGUUACCGACAGAAUAAGCACCGGCUAACUCUGUGCCAGCCGCCGCGGUAA